AUAAGAUUCUGAAGUUGGUUUGAAAUGGGAAGGCUUACCGGGUCCAGACACAAUGAGGACUAAUCAAUUGAUAGUUCUUUGAUGCCUUUGUAUGCAGUCGUGCAUCACUGUACUUUGUUGAUGGAGUAAUUUGUCUGCUUUGUUGCGAUAAAAGCCCUUGGUAUUCCAGUCCCAAAGAGCACAAAACAACCUGAGAAGUUGACAUGGGCGCAGCUUGCUCUCAGUCGGCGUAGCAGAAGGCCCAAGUGAUCUUGUUAAACUCUGUCGUGCUGGGGAUGGAGCAUUGCAAUUGCUACUCUUCAAAAAGAAAGCCCUCAUAUUCGCAAGUUGUCAAUUUGCACUGAUAAUAUC
Molecule: ribosomal RNA, 351 nt
Filed under: Colletotrichum orbiculare MAFF 240422
Lineage: Eukaryota; Fungi; Ascomycota; Sordariomycetes; Glomerellales; Glomerellaceae
Description: eukaryotic small subunit ribosomal RNA
Source: RNAcentral